This 74-nucleotide transfer RNA is filed under the name Halopseudomonas formosensis. RNAcentral describes it as "Pseudomonas formosensis tRNA_Arg_CCT". It matches the Rfam family "tRNA". From Rfam's summary of the family: Transfer RNA (tRNA) molecules are approximately 80 nucleotides in length. Lineage: Bacteria; Pseudomonadati; Pseudomonadota; Gammaproteobacteria; Pseudomonadales; Pseudomonadaceae. The record is from RNAcentral.
GCGCUUGUAGCUCAGCUGGAUAGAGCAAUCGCCUCCUAAGCGAUAGGUCCCCGGUUCGAAUCCGGGCUUGCGCA